GACGAACGCUGGCGGCGUGGAUUAGGCAUGCAAGUCGAACGGUAGGAUACCUUCGGGUAUCUGAGAGUGGCGAACGGGUGAGUAACACGUAGGUGAUCUACCCUCAAGAUUGGGACAACCCAGGGAAACUUGGGCUAAUACCGGAUGAAAGCAGCAGUGAUGUUGUUUGAAAGGUGGCGUAAGCUGCCGUUUGGGGAUGAGCCUGCGCUCUAUUAGUUAGUUGGCGGGGUAAAGGCCCACCAAGGCGAUGAUAGAUAGGCGGCCUUAACGGGUGGUCGCCCACACUGGGAUUGAGAUACGGCCCAGACUCCUACGGGAGGCAGCAGUCGAGAAUAGUCUACAAUGGCCGAAAGGCUGAUAGUGCGACGCCGCGUGAACGAAGAAGCCCUUCGGGUGUAAAGUUCUUUUAUAUGUGAGCAGUGCUUCUAUGUGAACAGCAUGGGGAGAGAGAUAUUAGCAUAUGAAUAAGCAACGGCUAACUCCGUGCCAGCAGCCG
This 496-nucleotide ribosomal RNA is filed under the name uncultured bacterium. RNAcentral describes it as "bacterial SSU rRNA". It matches the Rfam family "Bacterial small subunit ribosomal RNA", at positions 28 to 517 of the family's 1533-position model. The record is from RNAcentral.